This 660-nucleotide ribosomal RNA is filed under the name Triticum aestivum (bread wheat). Its description in RNAcentral is "partial small subunit ribosomal RNA". The record is from RNAcentral. Lineage: Eukaryota; Viridiplantae; Streptophyta; Magnoliopsida; Poales; Poaceae.
AUGGUGAAGGAGCUCACGGGCGGCUACAAGGUACAGUACCACGCCAACGGCGCCGACAAGCCGCCUAUCGAGAUCGAUUUUACUCCUCCGUUCGCGCGGAUCAACAUGAUCAAGGGACUGGAGGACAUGGCCGAUCUCAACAUACCGGAGGAGGAUCUGUCGACCGAUGAUGCCAACGAGUACUUGAUGGAGGCUUGUGCCAGGUACGACAUUACGUGCCCGCUUUCACACACGACGGCACGGCUGCUGGACACGCUUGUCGGCCACUUCCUGGAGGAGACAUGCGUGAACCCGACGUUCAUCAUCAACCAUCCGGUGAUCAUGAGCCCACUCGCAAAGUCACACAGGGACGAAGCCUGGCCUGGACUGACUGAAAGGUUUGAGCUGUUCAUCAACAAGCAUGAGGUGUGCAACGCCUACACGGAGCUGAAUGACCCCGUCGUGCAGAGGGAGCGGUUUGAGGAGCAGCUCAGGGAUCGUCAGGACGGUGACGAUGAAGCGAUGGCCAUGGACGAAACCUUCUGCACUGCCCUUGAGUAUGGCCUGCCGCCGACCGGAGGCUGGGGUCUGGGGAUUGAUCGCCUCACCAUGUUGCUGACGGAUUCCCAGAACAUAAAGGAGGUCCUCCUGUUCCCGGCCAUGAAGCCUCAAGACAGCUAG